GGAUUAGAUACCCUGGUAGUCCACGCCGUAAACUAUGAUUACUCGAUAUUGGCGAUAUACUGUCAGUGUCUAAGCGAAAGUGAUAAGUAAUCCACCUGGGGAGUACGGUCGCAAGGUUGAAACUCAAAGGAAUUGACGGGGGCCCGCACAAGCGGUGGAGCAUGUGGUUUAAUUCGAUGAUACGCGAGGAACCUUACCAGGGCUUAAAUGCAGGAUGAAUAUAUUGGAAACACUAUAGCCUUCGGGCAUUCUGCAAGGUGCUGCAUGGCCGUCGUCAGCUCGUGCCG
This 287-nucleotide ribosomal RNA is filed under the name uncultured bacterium. Its description in RNAcentral is "partial 16S ribosomal RNA". It matches the Rfam family "Bacterial small subunit ribosomal RNA", at positions 775 to 1067 of the family's 1533-position model. The record is from RNAcentral.